AGAGUUUGAUCCUGGCUCAGAGCGAACGCUGGCGGCGUGCUUAACACAUGCAAGUCGAGUGCGUAGCUUUCUGUAGCAAUACAGGGAGUGGGCGCACGGCGCACGGGUGCGUAACACGUGGGCAACCUGCCCUUGGAUGGGGAAUAACCCCGCGAAAGCGGGGCUAAUACCGCAUAACAUUCCUGGAACCUUGGUUUCGGGACUCAAAGCCGUAAGGCGUCCGAGGAGUGGCCCGCGCACGAUUAGCUUGUUGGCGAGGUAACGGCUCACCAAGGCGAUGAUCGUUAGCCGGUCUGAGAGGAUGACCGGCCACACUGGAACUGAGACACGGUCCAGACUCCUACGGGAGGCAGCAGUGGGGAAUAUUGCGCAAUGGGCGAAAGCCUGACGCAGCGACGCCGCGUGGGGGAUGAAGCUUCUCGGAGUGUAAACCCCUUUCGACCCGGACGAAUGCCCCGCAAGGGGAGGGACGGUACGGGUAUAAGAAGCCCCGGCUAACUACGUGCCAGCAGCCGCGGUAAUACGUAGGGGGCCAGCGUUGCUCGGAAUAACUGGGCGUAAAGGGUUCGUAGGCGGUGCGGAAAGUUGGGAGUGAAAUCUCUGGGCUUAACUCAGAGACUGCUUUCAAAACUUCCGUGCUCGAGUGCGAGAGAGGCAAGUGGAAUUGCAGGUGUAGCGGUGAAAUGCGUAGAUAUCUGCAGGAACACCCGUGGCGAAGGCGGCUUGCUGGAUCGCAACUGACGCUGAGGAACGAAAGCUAGGGGAGCAAACAGGAUUAGAUACCCUGGUAGUCCUAGCCCUAAACGAUCAGAACUUGGGGUGCAUCCCGUUGGGGGUGCGUCUCGUAGCUAACGCGUUAAGUUCUGCGCCUGGGGAGUACGGUCGCAAGACUGAAACUCAAAGGAAUUGACGGGGGCCCGCACAAGCGGUGGAACAUGUGGUUCAAUUCGACGCAACGCGAAGAACCUUACCUGGGCUUGAACUGCACCGGGACAAAGGUAGAAAUACCUCUCCCGCAAGGGCUGGUGUAG
RNAcentral lists this ribosomal RNA (1031 nucleotides) under uncultured bacterium. RNAcentral describes it as "bacterial SSU rRNA". It matches the Rfam family "Bacterial small subunit ribosomal RNA", at positions 8 to 1035 of the family's 1533-position model. The record is from RNAcentral.